AAAGAUCCCUCUUGGUGAUAGUAGUAAAGUUGAUCUGCUCCCAUCUUGAGGGGCCUCACAUCUCUCCCCCCCUUGCUGGGCCCAGCUUCCCAGGGACCUCCCACUGGAGACCCGGGAGGGACCCGUGGGAGGCGAGUUCCGGGCGACAGAGGCAGAUGCGGGUCCCGGGGCCGUUUCCAUUUUAAUUUUCUGCAGCGUGAGGGGAGCGUGUGGGCUUGCUGUGCGUGCUGAUGUAGGCCACAUGCAAAAAGCAUGUCCCCGUGUCCCCGUGAGAGUCCAGAGGGAGGGAGGUGGGGAAGGCGAGGAGGGGUUGAAGCACAACUUCUAAGGCUCCUUUCAACUGCACCGCGCUGAGCCUCGGGCCAGGAGAAGGCUGAGUUAUGUAAGAGCUGGCCGGGUGCCCACAUCUGGCAAUAGUCACCGUGUUUGGUGAGCAGGCCGCUCUCCCACGGCCAGCAGCUGAUCUGUUCUGGAAAGAAGGCGGAGUCCAUGAAAGCAUCCACAGGACCCUGUGGCCACGUGGGGUCCCCCCGGGCUAGCAGGGAGGCGUCUGGCCAUCUGGGCUCCCACCAGCCAGGUGAGGAGUAGUUGGGAAAUGUGACGGAAGUGCCACCUCUGUGGGCUGAAGCACACGGGACAGUUUUAAUGGCCCAGGAAGAGGUUUUGCCCCAGCUGCAGGCCCAUGCAGAGGGAAGAGAAACCAUGUGCCGCCGUGCAGAGUCCAACCCCGGCGGGGUCUCCUCUAUACGGGUGAACCACCAACCUACAGGGGAGUUGGCACAGACACAGCAUCGAAGCAAAGAAACUAGAGCUCUGGCCUCCGAGUGAGCUGAGAUUGGGCUGGACUCACGGCCCAAUCCUCGGUAAAACCUUGAGCCUGAGUUUCCUUGUUUAUAAAAUGGACAUCAUAGUACUUAGUACCUAUGAGGAAACUGACACAAAGCACAGCACUCGUUUAGUGCAGUGGUUGGCUAAUAGGCAGCAUCCCGGACCCCUGAGCAUCUGUGGUGGACGCAGUGGAGUUCCGGAGGACCUUGGGCUGAGGCUGCACUGCUGUGUCCUGCCUGCCGUGUUCUGGGACCUCCCCAGCACCCAGCCACAAUCAGCCCUCCAGCACCUGGGCUUCUGGUGUGGAGGUGUCCUGUCUUACAGAGCCACACAGCCUGGAUUUUUCGUGCCUUACUCUUUGGGACCCCUGCUGUCACGGGCUGCUUCCUGUAGCCCUGUGAGACACACAGGGAAAAUUUGACUCCAACAGGUGAGAAAGUGGGGCACCCCAGGUGAGCCACCUGCUGAUGUCCCCUGCAGGCGACAGGGUGGGAGGCAUUCUGAGGGGACUUAGCCCAUGGACUCCCCAGUGCAGGCCAAUCCAAAGUCCACCUCCCAGACAGCUCCACAGAGGAACAGGGCUCUAUCCUAGUGCUCAUUGUUUAUUUAUUAAUUUUGAUUUUUAAAAAAAUAUUUUUAAAAAUACUUCAUAAUGCAAUAGGAGCAGUUAGGAGCAGUUAGGUCACGUUCACAGGUCAGACUCCAGGGAGUGCACUCUGGAGCGGGUUCUGGUAGAUGUGCCAGGAAGGAGGUAGCUCAGGAGCUUACCCUGGGCUAAGGACAAGGGACAGGUGAUCCGCAGAGCUGCCAGCGCAGACAGAGCUGACCAGUCCCCCAAGAAGCCUCUGCCUCACCCUGAAGACCAAGGUCCUGUCCCUUCACGUCUUAAUGAUAGUGCUGUUUUAUUUUGCUGGUGUGUGUACAGUUAAAAAUUCACAUUUCCUGUGCCCAGAGUUUCCAAAACCCCCAGGCACAUGCCCUGUCUGGAUGGAAAGUCCCUUGAAAGGUCCUCCUGCCCACCUUCUGCCACUGUGUGACUGUAGGCCUCAGUGACAGCCUUUGUCCAGAGCUGGACCCGCUGGUCGGGGUGGUGGAGGGUGUCUGGUGGGCAUGCAGUGGUCCAGCCACUGUGUCCUGAGAGGGAAGCUCUGCCUGGACAGGUCACUGAGGGCUUCUUCUUUGGGUUGACCAGUCGCUGCUGUGCAGGAGCCCCAGGAACGAAGGCAGGGCCGUCCAGCGGAGCCCUGGCUGGCUCUCGCCUCUGGUCUGGUUUAUCCAGCGCCUUAUCAGAAGCACUCCUCCCUGGCGGGCUGGGGGGAAGGCUUCCCUGAGCCCCUGCUCCUCCGCCCUCCUGUCCCCACUGCCAUCGGCACCUGGCAGGCUGCAUCCUGCUGUCCACCCACUGCCCGGCUUAUCACCGUGGGCCUUGCCUCAGCAGCCUGCAGAUCAACCCGGGGCUGGGAGGAACCCGGGAAAGAUGGAAAGGGUGGGGAGGAAGGAGCUCCCGCACUGGCGGCCCCACCCCGUCCAGACUUUGAAAACGCCACUGUGCGUAGGACAGAAGUUGUAAGAACAAUUCAGAUAAAAGUUUGUAAGUACAAUUCUCCCUGUUUCCCUUUGCCAGCGUGGGGUGAGGGAAGUGAGCCAGGAGCUGGAGCCCCCCGCCCCUGUGUUCCAAGUGUUGAUUUCAGGGCACAGCAAGGCCGCAGGGCCCCACCAGGGCAGCCAGAUGGCCUCUUGUGGCCUUGCUAGUGGCCAGGACCAUGGUCACUGAACGCCCUCCUUGAUGGUGGUCACUGGGCUACCCUGGGGGUGCCAGAGCCUCUGGAGGGACACCUUCCAUUGGCAGAGGAGGGUGCUUCUGACCUUGAUGACCUGGGCCUGGAAGGGAUAGGAGACCUUGCGAAGCUCCCCGCUAUGGCUUGGGAGUGGUCCGAGUGACCCCACGGGUCCGUUGUAAUUAAAGUCUUCUGUCCACAGCAAGUUCCAGGCAAUGGAAUCUAGGGGAGGCGGGGUCUUGUGGGAGGGUCUUAGCUCACUGAGGAGAUGUCCUUGAAAGGGACUUCGGCCAUCUCUCUCUGACUUCCUGCCUGGCAUGUGAGUUCUUCCACACAAAUGCCUCCACCAUUAGGAGGCUUCCCCAGCCACGCUGCUGACUCUCAAGUGCUGUGAGCUAAGUCGACCUUUUCUUCCUGUAAGCUGGCUGCCCUUGGCACUUCACUGUAGUAAAACAAGACUGACUGAUGCGUCCGCCCAGAGAGCCCUGGAGUCCCGGCCACGUGUCCCCCCUGGAGGUGUGGAGUCUGCAAUGGGGUGACCUCUGCUGUCUCAGGCACACUCUUCCCCACAGCCCCACUAAGCCUUCCUGUGCCGAAGGAGAGUUGAUCCCUGACCCUAAAGAUGGUUUCUAGGAUCGCCAGUGCCUGAUUGCCGGGAGCUCUGGUCUUGCUGACCGGAGGGGAUAUUUGGCCAGGGGCGGUGAAGGCAGCUUUGGAAAGGAAACGGAGCCGGUUGAUUUGAGUUUCAGGCCAAGAUCUGCAGCCCGUCUUUUGGCUCUGCCUCUUCUGGUGACUUCUCUGGAAAGCUAUGCUGGUUUCCUGCCCUGAAGGAUGGGGUCCUUCGAGAAGGGAGCCUGACUCCGUCUGCUUGAAUGACAGGAGGCUCUUGGAGAGGCUCCUGCGUCCUUUCAGACAACCCAGGACGUCUCCUCGGUCUGCCUCCACUUCCCAAAAGGCUCCGUUUGGCCCAGUUUCCCUGUAGUCUCCCUUUCAAAAUUCCAGAGAAUCCCAACAUCUGGGCAGAAUCGUGAAGGGAGGAAGGGCCCACAAGUGUGUAGAAUGCCUCCUUCCCACUCACAGCUCCGCAGCCGGCUUCCUUCUGCUCCAGCUGCCACAGAAGAGCCCCCUGGCUCCCAGGCAGCCCGUGGGCACUCUCCCACCCGCCCGUCCAGGGGGCCCACCUCGGCUGGAGAAAUUCUGGAGGAGGUGGUAGUGUUCUCCACCGUCUGUGAAAUGAAGUGAGCAGGCUCCACGUGAAACUUCUACUCCCCCAGAAGUUUUACGACAGACUCUUUGGAAACAUUCUUUGAGGAGGAUGUCAUGUACGAGGAAGCCCGUUCUGGAUAAGGCCAUAAAAAGGCUUACCUUAGCUCCCGUGCCAAGUCCUCAAUCAAGGAGCAGUGUAUCACUGGGUCUGCCAAGAUGCGCUGGGGAAAGGCCACCAGAAUUCCUCCCUGCAGGGCUAUAAGAAGAUGGAAUCCGGUGUAUUCCACACCAUGUGGAUGAAUGAAUCAGGAAGUGGAGGAACGCAGCCAGGAAGUCUGCAGCAAGUCCCCGAGAUGAUAAAAAGACUGCUUCUUCCUAUUAAUAUUUUAUUGCAAAGGGGUCAUUGCCAGCUGGCUCAUCUUGCUGCUUGAGAGAACCAAAUGCUGUCAUUCUAACCUCAAAUGUUGCUGCUUUUAAGAAAGCCCCGGCACAUGCUCUCUAAACCACUUGCAGAACAGUCGUAAGUGGUGCUCAGCAGGCAAUUUUUACAGGCUAGGAAGGCCCAGCAAAAUGCCUGUACUAGAAGGGAGAACAGGAAGGGAAACGGUCUCUUCCAUGAAGAUACUAUCACAAACUCAAAAUGGCAGUAAACCUACUGAAACUGGACUUCAACUCUAGAGUUUUAAGGUCUUCUAAAUGGAAAAGGCAAAUGUUGCAUAAGAAUGUCCACACUUGGAUUUUUUUUCCAUUUGUUCCAUUUUUAUGAGAAAAUGGUCUAAAUGGCUUAGCUCCUGCCUGUGUAGUUUAAAUUCCUCAAUGUGGCUUUUGGAAUGUUGGCAGGGGAGUGCAGUUCACUAUUUGGGAGGACAUUUGACUUAAAUUCUGAACUCUUGAGACACAACCACCCGGGUCCCACAGAGAUUCUGAGGUUUCUUGGGUUCUGAUAAAUAGGUGAAGAGGCUGCUGAAGAUAAGAUUUAUCCAUCCAUCCAUACAUCCAUCCAUACAUCCAUCCAUCCACCCACCAUCCAUACAUCUACUACUGUCCAUCCAUCCACUACCAACCCAUCCAUCUGUCCACUAUCCAUCCACCUAUCCAGUCCCUUAUCUGUUCAUCUAUCUAUCCAACCACCAUCCAUCUAUUUGGCCAGUGCCCAUCCAUCUCUCCAGCUACCCACCUAUCAUCCAUCCAUCCAUCCAUCCAUCCAUCCAUCCAUCCAUCCAUCUAUCCAGCCACCAUAUACCCAUCAGUCCAGUGACUCACCUCUCAUACAUCCACCAUGCAUCCAUUCAUCCAUCUGUCCACUACCCAUCCAUCUAUCCAGUCAGCAUCCCCCCAUCUAUCCAGUGACUCACCUCGUGCCCACCCAACAUCCACGAUCUACCUUGACAUUCAGUUAUUCAUUUAUUCCUCAUUAAGAGAGAAUGUCUGAGGAAAGGAUGCUUAGGACUGGAUCUGAGAAAAAUGUGUCCUAAAGGAAGUUAGAUGAGGACAUCGGGCAGGGCUCAUUCACAAAAGAGAUGGACUUGAAAGGAGAGGACAGCUCCCCACCUCAGCAGACUUCUUGGCGUACGAGUCAUGGGUUGAGCACGGAACCAGAGGCUGGCCUGACACCGAAACCGAAAAAGGCUCAUGACAUGCAACUGCUUGAGAUCAAAGAGAGUGGCCAAGGGCGGGUCUCCCCCGGGGGGGGGGGGGCACGUGAUCGUGAAAAGUCCUGGGACAGAGGGAACGAGCUCACAGGAAGGGUUUUGUGAUUACCUUAACCACUGAUUGAGGAGGGGUGGAAACCCAAAGGUUUUCCAGCAAGGCUUCAGCUCCAUAGA
Molecule: non-coding RNA, 5638 nt
Organism: Ictidomys tridecemlineatus (thirteen-lined ground squirrel)
Lineage: Eukaryota; Metazoa; Chordata; Mammalia; Rodentia; Sciuridae
Source: RefSeq, a predicted model, not a curated record